GUGGGUGUAGCUCAAUGGCAGAGCACUUGAUUGUGGAUCAAGGGGUUGUGGGUUCGAAACCCAUCAUCCACC
Molecule: transfer RNA, 72 nt
Filed under: Candidatus Chlorohelix allophototropha
Lineage: Bacteria; Bacillati; Chloroflexota; Chloroflexia; Candidatus Chloroheliales; Candidatus Chloroheliaceae
Also listed under: 1 other name
Description: tRNA-His
Rfam family: tRNA
About the family: Transfer RNA (tRNA) molecules are approximately 80 nucleotides in length. Their secondary structure includes four short double-helical elements and three loops (D, anti-codon, and T loops).
Source: RNAcentral